GGCUCAGGAUGAACGCUAGCUACAGGCUUAACACAUGCAAGUCGAGGGGCAGCAUAAUCGAAGCUUGCUUUGAUUGAUGGCGACCGGCGCACGGGUGAGUAACGCGUAUCCAACCUUCCCCUUAGUAGGGCAUAGCCCGGCGAAAGUCGGAUUAAUACCCUAUGUUAUCCGUCGAGGACAUCUGAAAUGGAUUAAAGAUUUAUCGCUAAGGGAUGGGGAUGCGUCUGAUUAGGUUGUUGGCGGGGUAACGGCCCACCAAGCCUACGAUCAGUAGGGGUUCUGAGAGGAAGGUCCCCCACAUUGGUACUGAGACACGGACCAAACUCCUACGGGAGGCAGCAGUGAGGAAUAUUGGUCAAUGGGCGAGAGCCUGAACCAGCCAAGUAGCGUGCAGGAUGACGGCCCUAUGGGUUGUAAACUGCUUUUGCAUGGGAAUAAAGUCGGGGACGUGUCCCCGUUUGUAUGUACCAUGAGAAUAAGGACCGGCUAAUUCCGUGCCAGCAGCCGCGGUAAUACGGAAGGUCCGGGCGUUAUCCGGAUUUAUUGGGUUUAAAGGGAGCGCAGGCUGCCUGUUAAGCGUGACGUGAAAUGCCGCGGCUCAACCGUGGAAGUGCGUCGCGAACUGGCGGGCUUGAGUGUGCACGAGGAAGGCGGAAUUCGUGGUGUAGCGGUGAAAUGCUUAGAUAUCACGAAGAACUCCGAUUGCGAAGGCAGCCUUCCAGGGCAUAC
Molecule: ribosomal RNA, 729 nt
Filed under: Prevotella sp. P3
Lineage: Bacteria; Pseudomonadati; Bacteroidota; Bacteroidia; Bacteroidales; Prevotellaceae
Description: bacterial SSU rRNA
Rfam family: Bacterial small subunit ribosomal RNA
Source: RNAcentral